RNAcentral lists this ribosomal RNA (311 nucleotides) under uncultured Sulfuricurvum sp. Its description in RNAcentral is "bacterial SSU rRNA". It matches the Rfam family "Bacterial small subunit ribosomal RNA", at positions 29 to 334 of the family's 1533-position model. The record is from RNAcentral. Lineage: Bacteria; Pseudomonadati; Campylobacterota; Epsilonproteobacteria; Campylobacterales; Sulfurimonadaceae.
AAUGAACGCUGGCGGCGUGCUUAACACAUGCAAGUCGAACGAGAACGGGAGUAGCUUGCUACUCUGUCAGCUAAGUGGCGCACGGGUGAGUAAUGUAUAGGUAACGUGCCCCGAAGAGCGGGAUAACGUCUGGAAACGGACGCUAAUACUGCAUAUUCCUUCUAACCACAAGGUUAGAAGGGAAAUGAAUUUCGCUUCGGGAUCGGCCUUUAUUGUAUCAGCUAGUUGGUGAGGUAAUGGCUCACCAAGGCUAUGACACAUAGCUGAUCUGAGAGGAUGAUCAGCCACACUGGUACUGAGACACGGACCAG